RNAcentral lists this non-coding RNA (117 nucleotides) under Gorilla gorilla gorilla (western lowland gorilla). Lineage: Eukaryota; Metazoa; Chordata; Mammalia; Primates; Hominidae. The record is from Rfam by way of RNAcentral.
GCUGGGCGUGGUGGCUCAUGCCUGUAAUCCCAGCACUUUGGGAGGCUGAGGUGGGUGGAUCACCUGAGGUCAGGAGUUUGAGACCAGCCUGGCCAACAUGGUGAAACCCUAUCUCUA